Molecule: ribosomal RNA, 2893 nt
Filed under: Acinetobacter baumannii
Lineage: Bacteria; Pseudomonadati; Pseudomonadota; Gammaproteobacteria; Moraxellales; Moraxellaceae
Description: bacterial LSU rRNA
Rfam family: Bacterial large subunit ribosomal RNA
Source: RNAcentral
AGUGCAUGUGGUGGAUGCCUUGGCAGUCAGAGGCGAUGAAAGACGUGAUAGCCUGCGAAAAGCUCCGGGGAGGCGGCAAAUAUCCUUUGAUCCGGAGAUGUCUGAAUGGGGGAACCCACCUACUUUAAGGUAGGUAUUGCAACAUGAAUACAUAGUGUUGCAAGGCGAACGAGGGGAAGUGAAACAUCUCAGUACCCUUAGGAAAAGAAAUCAAUUGAGAUUCCCUCAGUAGCGGCGAGCGAACGGGGAUCAGCCCAUUAAGUUAUGUGUGUUUUAGUGGAACGCUCUGGGAAGUGCGAACGUAGAGGGUGAUAUUCCCGUACACGAAAGGGCACACAUAAUGAUGACGAGUAGGGCGAGGCACGUGAAACCUUGUCUGAAUAUGGGGGGACCAUCCUCCAAGGCUAAAUACUCCUGACUGACCGAUAGUGAACCAGUACCGUGAGGGAAAGGCGAAAAGAACCCCUGUGAGGGGAGUGAAAUAGAUCCUGAAACCGCAUGCAUACAAGCAGUGGGAGCACCUUCGUGGUGUGACUGCGUACCUUUUGUAUAAUGGGUCAGCGACUUAUAUUCAGUAGCGAGGUUAACCGUAUAGGGGAGCCGUAGAGAAAUCGAGUCUUAAUAGGGCGUUUAGUUGCUGGGUAUAGACCCGAAACCAGGCGAUCUAUCCAUGAGCAGGUUGAAGGUUGGGUAACACUAACUGGAGGACCGAACCCACUGUCGUUGAAAAGCCAGGGGAUGACUUGUGGAUAGGGGUGAAAGGCUAAUCAAGCCUGGUGAUAGCUGGUUCUCCCCGAAAGCUAUUUAGGUAGCGCCUCGGACGAAUACCAUAGGGGGUAGAGCACUGUUUCGGCUAGGGGGUCAUCCCGACUUACCAAACCGAUGCAAACUCCGAAUACCUAUGAGUACUAUCCGGGAGACAGACUGCGGGUGCUAACGUCCGUAGUCAAGAGGAAAACAAUCCAGACCGCCAGCUAAGGCCCCAAAAUCAUAGUUAAGUGGGAAACGAUGUGGGAAGGCAUAGACAGCUAGGAGGUUGGCUUANNNNNNNNNNNNNNGAAGCAGCCACCCUUUAAAGAAAGCGUAAUAGCUCACUAGUCGAGUCGGCCUGCGCGGAAGAUGUAACGGGGCUAAAACUAUGUGCCGAAGCUGCGGAUUUGACAUUAGUCAAGUGGUAGGGGAGCGUUCUGUAAGCCGAUGAAGGUGUAUUGAGAAGUNNAUGCUGGAGGUAUCAGAAGUGCGAAUGCUGACGUGAGUAACGACAAAACGGGUGAAAAACCCGUUCGCCGAAAGACCAAGGGUUCCAGUCCAACGUUAAUCGGGGCUGGGUGAGUCGACCCCUAAGGCGAGGCCGAAAGGCGUAGUCGAUGGGAAAAUGGUUAAUAUUCCAUUACUUCUGUGUAAUGCGAUGAGAGGACGGAGAAGGCUAAAUCAGCCUGGCGUUGGUUGUCCAGGUGAAAGGAUGUAGGCAUGUAUCUUAGGCAAAUCCGGGGUACUCUAUGCUGAGAUCUGAUAGCAAGCUGUACUUGUACAGCGAAGUGGUUGAUGCCAUGCUUCCAGGAAAAGUCUCUAAGCUUCAGUUACACAGGAAUCGUACCCGAAACCGACACAGGUGGUCAGGUCGAGUAGACCAAGGCGCUUGAGAGAACUCUGCUGAAGGAACUAGGCAAAAUGGUACCGUAACUUCGGGAGAAGGUACGCUGUUGUUGGUGAUGGAACUCGCUUCCUGAGCUGACGACAGCCGCAGAAACCAGGCCGCUGCAACUGUUUAUUAAAAACAUAGCACUCUGCAAACACGAAAGUGGACGUAUAGGGUGUGAUGCCUGCCCGGUGCUGGAAGGUUAAUUGAUGGGGUUAGCGUAAGCGAAGCUCUUGAUCGAAGCCCCAGUAAACGGCGGCCGUAACUAUAACGGUCCUAAGGUAGCGAAAUUCCUUGUCGGGUAAGUUCCGACCUGCACGAAUGGCAUAAUGAUGGCGGCGCUGUCUCCAGCAGAGGCUCAGUGAAAUCGAAAUCGCUGUGAAGAUGCAGUGUACCCGCGGCUAGACGGAAAGACCCCGUGAACCUUUACUGCAGCUUGACACUGAACUUUGACCUUACUUGUGUAGGAUAGGUGGGAGGCUUUGAAGCUGGAACGCUAGUUCCAGUGGAGCCGUCCUUGAAAUACCACCCUGGUAAUGUUGAGGUUCUAACUCUGUCCCGUGAUCCGGGACGAGGACCGUGUCUGGUGGGUAGUUUGACUGGGGCGGUCUCCUCCUAAAGAGUAACGGAGGAGUACGAAGGUGCGCUCAGCGUGGUCGGAAAUCACGCGUAGAGUAUAAAGGCAAAAGCGCGCUUAACUGCGAGACCCACAAGUCGAGCAGGUACGAAAGUAGGUCUUAGUGAUCCGGUGGUUCUGUAUGGAAGGGCCAUCGCUCAACGGAUAAAAGGUACUCUGGGGAUAACAGGCUGAUACCGCCCAAGAGUUCAUAUCGACGGCGGUGUUUGGCACCUCGAUGUCGGCUCAUCUCAUCCUGGGGCUGAAGCAGGUCCCAAGGGUAUGGCUGUUCGCCAUUUAAAGAGGUACGCGAGCUGGGUUUAGAACGUCGUGAGACAGUUCGGUCCCUAUCUACCGUGGGCGCUGGAAAUUUGAGAGGAUCUGCUCCUAGUACGAGAGGACCAGAGUGGACGAACCUCUGGUGUACCGGUUGUGACGCCAGUCGCAUCGCCGGGUAGCUAUGUUCGGAAGGGAUAACCGCUGAAAGCAUCUAAGCGGGAAGCCUACCUCAAGAUAAGAUUUCCCUAGGACUUUAUGUCCUCUAAAGAGCCGUUCGAGACUAGGACGUUGAUAGGUUGGAUGUGGAAGCAUAGUGAUAUGUGAAGCUGACCAAUACUAAUUGCUCGUGAGGCUUGACU